UCGAGAAUCUUCGGCAAUGGGCGAAAGCCUGACCGAGCGAUGCCGCGUGCGGGAUGAAGGCCCUCGGGUUGUAAACCGCUGUCGUAGGGGAGGAAGGUUCCGUGAAGAGCGGAAUUUGACCUAUCCUAGGAGGAAGUACGGGCUAAGUUCGUGCCAGCAGCCGCGGUAACACGAACCGUACGAACGUUAUUCGGAAUUACUGGGCUUAAAGGGUUUGUAGGCGGCCUUGUAAGUCAGGUGUGAAAGCCCUCGGCUCAACCGAGGAACAGCGCUUGAUACUGCAAGGCUUGAGGGAGACAGGGGUAAGCGGAACUGAUGGUGGAGCGGUGAAAUGCGUUGAUAUCAUCAGGAACACCGGUGGCGAAAGCGGCUUACUGGGUCUCUUCUGACGCUGAGGAACGAAAGCUAGGGUAGCGAACG
Molecule: ribosomal RNA, 420 nt
Filed under: uncultured bacterium
Lineage: Bacteria
Also listed under: 2 other names
Description: bacterial SSU rRNA
Rfam family: Bacterial small subunit ribosomal RNA
Source: RNAcentral